UACGGAAGGCAGCAGUGGGGAAUAUUGCACAAUGGGCGCAAGCCUGAUGCAGCCAUGCCGCGUGUAUGAAGAAGGCCUUCGGGUUGUAAAGUACUUUCAGUCGUGAGGAAGGUGUUAAGGUUAAUAACCUUAGCAAUUGACGUUAGCGACAGAAGAAGCACCGGCUAACUCCGUGCCAGCAGCCGCGGUAAUACGGAGGGUGCGAGCGUUAAUCGGAAUUACUGGGCUAAAGGGCACGCAGGCGGUUAAUUAAGUUGGAUGUGAAAUCCCCGGGCUUAACCUGGGAAUGGCAUUCAAGACUGGUUAGCUAGAGUCCUGUAGAGGGGGUAGAAUUCCAUGUGUAGCGGUGAAAUGCGUAGAGAUGUGGAGGAAUACCGGUGGCGAAGGCGGCCCCUGGGACAAGACUGACGCUCAUGUGCGAAAGCGUGGGGAGCAAACGAGGAUUAGAUACC
This 452-nucleotide ribosomal RNA is filed under the name uncultured bacterium. RNAcentral's name for it is "bacterial SSU rRNA". It matches the Rfam family "Bacterial small subunit ribosomal RNA", at positions 340 to 786 of the family's 1533-position model. The record is from RNAcentral.